Molecule: ribosomal RNA, 253 nt
Filed under: uncultured bacterium
Lineage: Bacteria
Description: partial 16S ribosomal RNA
Rfam family: Bacterial small subunit ribosomal RNA
Source: RNAcentral
UACGUAGGGGGCAAGCGUUGUCCGGAUUUAUUGGGCGUAAAGAGCUCGUAGGCGGUUUGUCGCGUCUGCUGUGAAAACUGGAGGCUCAACCUCCAGCCUGCAGUGGGUACGGGCAGACUAGAGUGCGGUAGGGGAGAUUGGAAUUCCUGGUGUAGCGGUGGAAUGCGCAGAUAUCAGGAGGAACACCGAUGGCGAAGGCAGAUCUCUGGGCCGUAACUGACGCUGAGGAGCGAAAGCUAGGGUAGCAAACGGG